GCAGUGAGUGACGCAGCCCGGGGGCGGAACAUAAUCAUUUUGAGUACGUAGACAGAUUGUAGAUCUUCCAGUCCGUCAGCGCUGCAGAUUCAUCACAGAGUCAGAGAAGAGGGAAGAGUUCCAAAUAAAGCUUAUUUCAUUUGAACCAAAGAAAGAAAAGAAGAAAAAAUGGUGGCCAAACAGCGGAUCCGCAUGGCGAACGAGAAACACAGCAAGAACAUCACACAGCGAGGAAACGUGGCCAAGUCAACAGUGAGUUUAACAACGACUCUGUUCCUUUUUCUUAUUGGGAAAAACUGAUGAAUAAAUACCGAAAAUACAGCAGCAUAGACGCGCUCUGGACCGGAGCUAAGAGCCCGGCUUCUAUCAGGACCUCUGUUCGGGUCUAGACCCAAGAAGAAAGCAGGUCCAGACCCAGAGAGGGUCCGCUGAGUUACCGUCUGCUGCAUUUUAACCCCAGAUUAGAACCACUAUAAAGUAUGAUUAACACGGAUUUCAGAUAAAAUAAUCAAUGAUAAAUCAGAGCCGUAAUUCUAAGUAAUUUUUUUUGUUCAAAUGGUGACAAAAACAGCUUUGAGAGAGUCAGGACCAGGAAUUAUACCGUACGCACUCACUAACGUUAAACUACAGAGACUUCAGAGAGAUGCAUUCAAAUGAACUGGGUGGAAAAAUAUUAAUUAAAAAGGGUUCACAGAGACUUUAUGAACUCAUUUUGUUAAAAAAAAUAAAAGUUUCCUAGAGCAUUCUCAAUUAAUCAAAAGAUAAAGUAAAAACACCUUCACCACCUUUAAAGGGACAUUCCGGCGUUAAAUUAAGGUAGGGUCAAACACACCGUAACACCGAGUUAGAUACCCCGUCGAGAGAUGAAUGUUGCCGACCGCUUUCGUCUCUAGUUAUGCCAACUUUAGUAAUGACUGCAGCAAUAGCAAUACACAGUGGUCUACCUCAACCAAAAAGCCAACCUAUAGCCACAAAUAAUGCUCAGAACAGAACCUAAUUUCAUCAACAGCGCAUAUGGGCUCCCAACCAUAGCACUAGCCACCAAACAUCUUUUUAGCUUUGCCUAAUUUCUUAAGCAAAGAGACUUGACACAACUCACCCUCUCUCCUUCAGCAGCUGCUUGUUUGUGGGGGAGCCCUGACAAGUCGAUCACCGAGUGCAAUUGAGUUUUGCAGCUCAAGGAAAAACAUUUAUGAUAAUUUCCCUAUGGAAAUGCAAUCAGACCGAGACGCUUAGGCAGAAGAACUACCGUGCCUGCAGUGCAAAAUGAUUAAUAUGAUGAUUAUUACUUCAAGGAAAUCAUCCGCUGCACUCAGUGAUCAACUCGGCAGGGCUCUCCCCACAAACAAGCGGCUACUGGAGGAGAGAGGGGAAGUUGUCUUUAGUCUCUUUGCUAAAGAAAUCAGACAAAGCUAAAAAGAUGUUGGGUGGCUAGUGCUAUGGCUGGGAGCCUAUACGCACUGUUGAUGUUGUUGAUGCACUGUUGAUGUGUUGUUCUGAGCAUUAUUUGUGGCUAUUGAGUGGCUUUGUGGUUGAGGUUUGCACAUGGAGGCAAAGACUGCUGUGUAUUGCUAUCCUGCGGUCAUUACUAAAGUUGGUAUAACUAGAGAAGCAAGCAGUGGCCAACAUUCAUCUUCGAGGGGGUGUCUAACUCGGUGUUACUGUGACCUUGACCCUAACUUAAAUUUACGCUGGAAUAUCCUCCUUAGUUAGAAAAUUAAACUUUCUAAAGCCAUCCUCAAUUAAUCAAAAGAAAACAAUAAAAACAUUUUCUCCUCCUUUGGUUAAAAAAUAAACUUUGUUAAGACAUCCUCAUUGAUAUAACAAAGUUAAAAUAAAAACACAUUCACCUGCUUAAGUACAAAAAUUAAACUUUUUGAAAAGGCAUCCUCAGUUAUUCAAAAGAUUUAAAUAAAACAUUUUCACCUCCUUUAGUUCAAAAAUAAAACUAUGUAAGGACACUCUUUUUUAAAUAAAAGGAUUUAAAUAAUAAUAAUAAUAAAAACUCACCUCCUUUACGUUAGAAAUUUAAACUCAAAGAUGGAAAGAGCUGACCCAAGCAGAGACUAGCUGAUAUUAAAUUUAUUCAUUAACUUACCCAGAGAUAAACAGCUCAGGUAAAUCUGACAGAUUUUUAGUGAAGACAGACACACACAUGCACAGACAAAGAGUGAUAUAGAGACACACAGACACAUUCUGUUUAUCAGACUAAGAGUUUUAUUAUAAACACAUUUAUUGAAUCUAUCUCUCUCUCUCACUCUGUGUGUGUGUGUGUGCGUGUGUUUCAGAGGAACCUAGGGGACGACAAAGGUGUGGGUCCGUGGCUGCUCGCUCUCUUUGUUUUUGUCGUCUGUGGAUCAGGUGAGUUACUCUUCUUCCAACAAACACACUGUAGUCAAUUUUUUUGUUUGUUUGUUAAAGUCACAGAUAAACUUUUUCUCAGAGUGUCCCUUUCAUUGCUGUGUCCCUGACAGAGAUACAGUCUGAAAAACAAACAAUCAAACAAAUCACACCCCUCCGAAAUGAGUUAAGAAAUCCUAAGGUUGGUUUAACUGUUUAAAAAGCUUUCAGAGCAGUUUUUCAAAAUCAAAGAGACUAAGCCGAUUAUCGUUGUCUAUAAAGUUACAGAGAAACUUUAUCAGACCAGAACGAACAAACAGCUAAUGAGAGCCUCUGCAAGGAGCAACUGAGAUUAUUACAUCACCUGAGGGACUAAAACCCAGCCCAGAGACGGAAGUGUGGGGCUAAGUGCCCAAUCACAUGAAGGGGUGGGGCUAAGUGUCCAAACAGACAAAUGGACAGGGCCCAGUGUCUGGUCUAGAUGUCAGUGUGUGCUCCUGUGUCACUGUGACUGCAGACAGAAAGUCAACAAGUCAAACACCUUAGGCAUCCUCUGUGUGUGGGCGGGAUUUAUCUGAGCAUGCCCAGGGGUGUCAAAGAUCAGUCAGUGUACUGAGGUCUCACUCAGAGAGAAAUCUGACAGAGCAUCAAACAGACCUGAGAUCAGCUAAGACACUAACACACAGUUAAAAGGGAGAGUCUGUAAAAUCUUUCUCUUCACUCUGAGUUUCAGUGAGUCUGUGUGAUCGAUCUGUGUUAAACUGCAUCAUCAGAAUAAAAAGCAUUUCUUACUGUUUACAAAUAAACCUCCAUUGUCAUGUAAACAAUUCUAGUCAUAACUCUGUGUGUGUGUUUGUGUGUGUGUGUCUGCAGCCAUCUUCCAGAUCAUCCAGAGCAUCAGGAUGGGCAUGUAAAAUGAUGUCACUAGCAAAGGGCGGGGCUACAAAAGCAGCAGCUCCAGUGGUGGUGAGGAUGGCCUCGCCCACUCCACCUUUGAACUGAAGUAAUCCCAAACAUUCCUGAGCUGAGGCAGCUGUCUGUCUGCACACAAAACAUGACCCCCCCCCCCCCCACACACACACACACACACACACACACACACAAUGUUCCACAAAGUUAUCAUGUCGAUUCACGUGUCCUGCUCGCCAACCUUCUCAGUGUCUUUUUGUAAACAUCCACAGUGUGCCUUUCUCUGUUUACCUGUGCUUAAGCCAUGCCCCCACUGAUUACACUUUAUCAGAAAAGGGGUCAGAGUCCAGCUCCUGUAACUGAACCUGUGUCAACACCUCCUCUUCCUCAGUGUGAUGAUGAUAACAGUGAUGAUGAUGAAGAUGACGAUGAUGAUGAUGAAGGUCUUUUGAAUCAGAAGGUCAGGAGGUGCUGGCAGGUGUGUGUGUGUGAGUGCACUGUGUGCAGCUUCACCUGGACAGGGUUAAUAAAGUCUCAUUUUGAAGAUGGCUGCUGUGUCUUUGUGUGUACGUGCGCAUGUGCAUUCUCUGCAGCUCAUGAUAUUUUAGGAGAAACAGUUGAACUGUCAGUUAAGAAUGUUUGGAAACACAGUGAUUGGCCAGCAGAGCUAAACAAGUUCUAUCAGGUGACCUGUGAGACUUAAGUACAAGUCUUUAAAGCUGGUAGUUAUCUGUGGGAAGUGCUAAUUAAAUCAAAUUUAUGUCUCUUGUUUGAGUCUGUAAAGGUCUCAAUGAGUCUGAGAUUAGACUGAAUGAGUGAAUGAACAAGAGGAAGUCUCUGCUGAAGCUUCUGUUUGCUGCAAAGACAAAAAUCAAACUGAUGAGUUCUUUGUUCAGGGCUGCUGCAGUGACUAUGUGUCCACUGGAUGGAGCUGUUUGAGCAGAAACACCAGACGGUGUUGUCAUUAAAUAAAGGUAAAGGAGAGCUUACCAAAUCUCUCCUAUUGUCAACAA
RNAcentral lists this long non-coding RNA (4262 nucleotides) under Xyrichtys novacula (pearly razorfish). Lineage: Eukaryota; Metazoa; Chordata; Actinopteri; Labriformes; Labridae. The record is from RNAcentral.